Molecule: long non-coding RNA, 1538 nt
Organism: Spinacia oleracea (spinach)
Lineage: Eukaryota; Viridiplantae; Streptophyta; Magnoliopsida; Caryophyllales; Amaranthaceae
Exons: 3
Source: RefSeq, a predicted model, not a curated record
AUGCUCUGUGCUCGACGCUGGGGUAGGGGCGUUAGCACAUUAUUAGAGCCUUUAGGCGCCAUCAAUUAUCUCGUCUGUCUUCCGCGUCGAGAUAUUGGCGAUGUUGCUAAUUCUCACGCACAUGCCUUGCACGUGUAGUCUUCAACCGCGAGUUCAAGUUAUGGAAAACACCUACUCUGACUCUCUCUCUCAGUUCUCAACCCUAACUCCCCACACUUCUCAUCUCCUUUCUCCAAAUCUUUUCAAUUCUCAUGAAGGUAUAAAAAUGAUCCAAUCGAUCUCCAUCAAAAGUAUCAAUUUCCUCUUUUCCAAAUCGUCUUAUGGUUUCAGAUUUCUUCUUUCGGAGCAGAUCUCGCUGAAAGUUUCGGACAAAUGACCAACGGGGAAGUUAAGACAGUGCCCAGAUCGGCGUCGUUCAUUAUGGGAAAAGAGUUGCAGAUCUAGGAGAUGGUGAUAACUCGCUAAUUUUGUAUGUCUUCCCGUUUGGAGACGCACAAACCCUCUAUCACUCACCAAAUUCUCAACCUCUUUGAUAUAUUCCAACCUUCAAGAUCGACGAGUUAAUUUUUGCUCGAAUAAUGAGUUUCAGGGAGAAAUAGCAGCAGCAUUCGUGACUCUUUUUCAACGGUGUCAGGACUAGCAACUGCAGACGUGGUAGAAAUCCCAAUACCAUAUGUUGUUGCAGAAGUUUCUAUUAAGCGUCUAGCCUCUCUCAACAAGCCUGAAAUCCCAAUACUUGUUGUGGGAUGUCUGUUUGCAAUUGCCAUUGGUGCAAUAUUUCCAGUAUUUAGUAUAAUAUUUGCUAGUGCGGAUUGAAAUGUUUUACAAGCCACCAGAUAUCUUGAGAAGGGAUUCGAGGCUUUAGUUGGAGACGCAUUGGGUUUUCUUAUCAAAAUAUUUCCUCUGCUAUAACUGGUUUGGUCAUUGCUUUCCUUGCAAACUGGAUUCUGGCAUUGAUAGUCCUCGUCUUAAUCCCUCUCAUAGGAAUCAGUGGUUAUCUCCAAGUAACGUUUAUGCAGGGAUUUAGUGCUGAUGCGAAGAAGAAGUACGAGGAGGCUAGCCAAGUUACCAACGAUGCAGUUGGGAGUUUCGUGUUUUCUGAGUUAUUCGAAGGUCAGGCUUCCUCAAUUGAAUCUUUGUUUGAAACUGGAUGCUCAAUUUUGUGCAGGUUUCUUUUCCUCCAAAACUGAGUGAUCAACCGAUUUGUCAAAGGAGUUUUAAAAGUUCUAAACUUUUCUAACAAACAUUUAUUAAGUACUUAGGUUUUUUCCCCUAUGUAUUUGUUAUGUAUAAUGAUUAAUUGAAAUGAGUUGGUUGAAUUAGUAAGUUAAUUGAAUUAAUUAGUAUGUUAAUCACUGAAUUUAUAUUAGUUCUUCAAUUUUUGGAGUUGUAAAGGUUCAGUUUAGUGAAAAAUGUAUGUGUUUUUCUUAUUAGAGAAGUUUUAUUGUAUCCCCGAUCCGCAAUGUUAUGUUAUUAUAUGAAGACCCUAAGUUUGUACAAUUUCUGAAAAUGCAACGAUCUCGUUCAUCCUAGAUAGU